UGGGGAAUCUUGCACAAUGGGGGCAACCCUGAUGCAGCGACGCCGCGUGAGCGAUGAAGGUUUUCGAAUCGUAAAGCUCUGUCCUAUGGGAAGAUAAUGACGGUACCAUAGGAGGAAGCCCCGGCUAACUACGUGCCAGCAGCCGCGGUAAUACGUAGGGGGCGAGCGUUGUCCGGAAUUACUGGGCGUAAAGGGUUCGCAGGCGGCAUGGCAAGUCCGAUGUAAAAGGCGAAGGCUCAACCUUCGUAAGCAUCGGAAACUGUCAAGCUUGAGUGAAGGAGAGGCAAGUGGAAUUCCUAGUGUAGCGGUGGAAUGCGUAGAUAUUAGGGGGAAUACCGGUGGCGAAGGCGACUUGCUGGACUUCAACUGACGCUGAGGAACGAAAGCGUGGGUAGCAAACAGG
RNAcentral lists this ribosomal RNA (403 nucleotides) under Verrucomicrobiota bacterium. RNAcentral describes it as "Verrucomicrobia bacterium partial 16S ribosomal RNA". It matches the Rfam family "Bacterial small subunit ribosomal RNA", at positions 355 to 776 of the family's 1533-position model. Lineage: Bacteria; Pseudomonadati; Verrucomicrobiota. The record is from RNAcentral.